RNAcentral lists this ribosomal RNA (855 nucleotides) under Triticum aestivum (bread wheat). RNAcentral describes it as "partial small subunit ribosomal RNA". The record is from RNAcentral. Lineage: Eukaryota; Viridiplantae; Streptophyta; Magnoliopsida; Poales; Poaceae.
AUGUCUUCUGAUUCUUCCGCAUUGUCUUCUCUCCGACCUCUUGAUUCGCCUGUUAAUGUUCUUACUGCCGAUGGCACAUCUCUUCCUGUUGCUAGUCGUGGUAUUCUUUCCACUCCCUCCUUUUCUGUUCCGAGUGUUUCACAUGUUCCUCGUCUUACCAUGAAUCUUUUUUCCGCUGCUCAACUUACUGAUUCUGGUUGUCGUGUCAUUCUUGACACCGACUCUUGCUCCAUUCAGGAUCGUCGCACCAAGGCUUUGGUUGGUGCUGGCCCUCGGCGCCGUGAGUCAGAGGGCCUUUGGGAGGUUGACUGGCUUUGUGUUCCUUCCGCUGCCACCACUUCUGCCAGCUCUCAUGCUCUUGCUGCCUCUUCGUCUGCGUCCUUCCAGCAGUGGCAUCAUCGCCUUGGUCACAUCUAUGGCUCUCGCUUGUCUUCUUUAGUCCGUCAGGGCCUCUUAGGGUCUGUAUCUGGAGAUGUCUCCUUACAUUGUAAUGGUUGCAGACUUGGCAAACAGACUCAGCUACCUUAUCCUAUCAGUGAGUCUGUAUCUCAGCGUCCUUUUGACUUAGUUCAUUUUGAUGUCUGGGGUCCUGCUCCCUUUGAUUCGAAAGGUGGUCAUCGCUAUUAUGUUUUGUUUAUUGAUGAUUUCUCUCGCUACACUUGGCUCUACUUCAUGAAAUCUCGUAGCCCAUCGUGUUGCUCCAGUGGAAACUUUGAUCCUCGGAUCGGGCGAUGGUGGCGCUCCGGUGUCGUGCCCUUCCUGAAGGCGCCGCCUUGGAGCCCACGGUUCGUCAUAUGCGGCUUCACUUCUUCGCGGUGGCGUGUUCACGGCUGUAGCCCCCGGCUGCUCUUGUAG